UGAGUAACCUGCCCUCAGCUUUGGGAUAACCCUCGGAAACGGGGGUCUAAUACCGGGUAUUCAUCUUUGGCGGCAUCGUCGGGGGUGGAAAGUUUUUCGGCUGGGGAUGGGCUCGCGGCCUAUCAGCUUGUUGGUGGGGUAAUGGCCUACCAAGGCUUCGACGGGUAGCCGGCCUGAGAGGGCGACCGGCCACACUGGGACUGAGACACGGCCCAGACUCCUACGGGAGGCA
Molecule: ribosomal RNA, 232 nt
Filed under: uncultured bacterium
Lineage: Bacteria
Description: partial 16S ribosomal RNA
Rfam family: Bacterial small subunit ribosomal RNA
Source: RNAcentral